AUGUGGUCUCUUCUGGUCGGU
This 21-nucleotide microRNA is filed under the name Cordylochernes scorpioides. The record is from RNAcentral. Lineage: Eukaryota; Metazoa; Arthropoda; Arachnida; Pseudoscorpiones; Chernetidae.